Molecule: non-coding RNA, 207 nt
Filed under: Clostridium sp.
Lineage: Bacteria; Bacillati; Bacillota; Clostridia; Eubacteriales; Clostridiaceae
Description: T-box sequence
Rfam family: T-box leader
About the family: Uncharged tRNA acts as the effector for transcription antitermination of genes in the T-box leader family.
Source: RNAcentral
UAAAAUGCGUUUAAUGGGAGAAGUAGUAAUAUUCGCCUAUCACAGAGAGGAGGUCAUAGCUGAAAGACCUCUAUAUGCGAUAUUAUGAAAUGCACCCGUCAGCACACAGUAGGAAAUGACUGUGCGUAUUGUCUGCGUUAAGGAUUUUAAUGAGGACAGAGUUUUUCUGUUAAAUUAGGGUGGAACAGCGAUAAUCUCGCCCCUGAA